GCCCUCGUAGCCCAGCGGUAGAGGCAGCGGUCUGAGGGGCCGUCCAGGGUGCGUUCGAAUCGCACCGAGGGCA
RNAcentral lists this transfer RNA (73 nucleotides) under Micromonospora pisi. RNAcentral's name for it is "Micromonospora sp. GUI15 tRNA". It matches the Rfam family "tRNA". From Rfam's summary of the family: Transfer RNA (tRNA) molecules are approximately 80 nucleotides in length. The record is from Rfam by way of RNAcentral. Lineage: Bacteria; Bacillati; Actinomycetota; Actinomycetes; Micromonosporales; Micromonosporaceae.